GUCUAUGGCCAUACCACCCUGAACACACCUGAUCUUGUCUGAUCUCGGAAGCUAAGCAGGAUCAGACCUGGUUAGUACUUGGAAUGGGAGAAUUUAGGCCUUACUAUGGGCU
Erinaceus europaeus (western European hedgehog) is the source of this 112-nucleotide ribosomal RNA. NCBI's taxonomy places the organism in Eukaryota, Metazoa, Chordata, Mammalia, Eulipotyphla, Erinaceidae. The record is from Ensembl.